AGAGUUUGAUCCUGGCUCAGAAUCAACGCUGGCGGCGCGCUUAACACAUGCAAGUCGAACGAGAAAGGGGAGCAAUCCCUGAGUACAGUGGCGUACGGGUGAGUAACACGUGGAUGAUCUACCUUCUGGUGUGGAAUAACCCUGGGAAACCGGGGCUAAUACCGCAUAAGCUCGAGAGAGGAAAGCAGCAAUGCGCCGGAAGAGGAGUCCGCGGCCGAUUAGCUAGUUGGCAGGGUAAAAGCCUACCAAGGCGAAGAUCGGUAGCCGGCCUGAGAGGGCACACGGCCACACUGGCACUGAAACACGGGCCAGACUCCUACGGGAGGCAGCAGUGGGGAAUCUUGCACAAUGGGGGCAACCCUGAUGCAGCGACGCCGCGUGAGCGAUGAAGCCCUUCGGGGUGUAAGGCUCUUUCGGCAGGGAAGAUGAUGACGGUACCUGCAGAAGCAGCUGCGGCUAACUACGUGCCAGCAGCCGCGGUAAUACGUAGGCAGCGAGCGUUGUUCGGAGUUACUGGGCGUAAAGGGUGUGUAGGCGGUUGUUUAAGUUUGGUGUGAAAUCUCCCGGCUCAACUGGGAGGGUGCGCCGAAUACUGAAUGACUAGAGUGCGGGAGAGGAGAGUGGAAUUCCUGGUGUAGCGGUGAAAUGCGUAGAUAUCAGGAGGAACACCGGUGGUGUAGACGGCUCUCUGGACCGUAACUGACGCUGAGACACGAAAGCGUGGGUAGCAACAGGAUUAGAUACCCUGGUAGUCCACGCCCUAAACGAUGCAUAUUUGGUGUGGGCAGUUCAUUCUGUCCGUGCCGGAGCUAACGCGUUAAAUAUGCCGCCUGGGGAGUACAGUCGCAAGGCUGAAACUCAAAGGAAUUGACGGGGGCCCGCACAAGCGGUGGAGCAUGUGGUUCAAUUCGACGCAACGCGAAGAACCUUACCUGGGCUCGAACGGCCGGUCAACGGAGGUGGAAACAUCUUUACCCCGCAAGGGGGUCCGGUCGAGGUGCUGCAUGGCUGUCGUCAGCUCGUG
Molecule: ribosomal RNA, 1024 nt
Filed under: uncultured bacterium
Lineage: Bacteria
Description: bacterial SSU rRNA
Rfam family: Bacterial small subunit ribosomal RNA
Source: RNAcentral